GGGCCUGUAGCUCAGGUGGUGAGAGCGCACGCCUGAUAAGCGUGAGGUCGGAAGUUCAACUCUUCCCAGGCCCA
RNAcentral lists this transfer RNA (74 nucleotides) under bacterium HR10. It matches the Rfam family "tRNA". Rfam says of the family: Transfer RNA (tRNA) molecules are approximately 80 nucleotides in length. Their secondary structure includes four short double-helical elements and three loops (D, anti-codon, and T loops). The record is from Rfam by way of RNAcentral. RNAcentral also lists the same sequence under 1 other name.